GACGAACGCUGGCGGCGUGCUUAACACAUGCAAGUCGAACGGAAAGGCCCUGCUUUUGUGGGGUGCUCGAGUGGCGAACGGGUGAGUAACACGUGAGUAACCUGCCCUUGACUUUGGGAUAACUUCAGGAAACUGGGGCUAAUACCGGAUAGGAGCUCCUGCUGCAUGGUGGGGGUUGGAAAGUUUCGGCGGUUGGGGAUGGACUCGCGGCUUAUCAGCUUGUUGGUGGGGUAGUGGCUUACCAAGGCUUUGACGGGUAGCCGGCCUGAGAGGGUGACCGGGCACACAGGGGGAGAGAGACGGCCCCGAGACCCCCGGGGGGGAGAAGGGGGGGAAAUGUCGCACAGGGCGGGGGAGUGAGACACAGCCGCCGCGUGCGGGGGGUGGGGGCCUUGGGUGUGAAAAGCGUUCGCGUGUGACGAAACGUGAGAGAGAGGAAAGGGGGAAGAAACACACGGGAAAUAUGC
This 467-nucleotide ribosomal RNA is filed under the name uncultured bacterium. RNAcentral's name for it is "partial 16S ribosomal RNA". The stretch from base 12 to 371 matches the Rfam family "Bacterial small subunit ribosomal RNA", at positions 39 to 400 of the family's 1533-position model. The record is from RNAcentral.